CGCUUGCCUAGCAAGCGCAAGGCCCUGGGUUCGGUUCCCAGCUCCGAAAUAAAGAAAGAAAAAAAAAAAAGAGUCGACAUGUCUAACUAGCUCCAGUCUAUCCAGUCUAAAGACCACACUUUGGGAAAAAGUCCUUGGUUAUAUGUUACCAUCCAAGCUUAAACUUUAUUUUAUCCAAUUGAAUCAGCCAGACGUUUAGCAAGCUUUCCUAUAAUGGGACAAAUACUAGCUAGCUACCUUUAGCUUUACGGCUAGUAGGGUCUCUGCUAUGACACUCAGGAUGGGCCCACCCAGUGUACCUGGAAACCUUAUUUUACACAAGCUACUCAGGUGAACAUCUCCUGUGAUUAACGAUCAUGCGAUACUUUUCUUCUCUUGCCAGAUGCAUGGCUGCUGCUGUAAAAGAUGCAGGCGUAUCACCUGAUCAGAUAUCCUAUGUCAACGCACAUGCCACCUCCACACCACUGGGUGACGCUGCUGAGAACAGAGCCAUCAAGAGGCUCUUUAGGGACCAUGCUCGUGCCCUCGCCAUAUCCUCCACAAAGGGAGCCACGGGGCAUCUUCUGGGAGCUGCAGGGGCAGUCGAGGCAGCUUUCACUGCACUGGCUUGUUACCAUCACAAACUACCGCCAACUUUAAACCUGGAUUGUACAGAGGCAGAAUUUGAUCUCAAUUAUGUUCCACUGGAGGCACAGGAAUGGAAAACCGAGGGUCGAUGUAUUGGACUCACCAAUUCCUUCGGGUUUGGUGGUACUAAUGCGACACUUUGUAUUGCUGGCAUGUAAGCUUUGGCUUUCAAUAGUCAUAAAUGUAUAAAUAGUAUGCACAUAAAUGUCUUAUCA
This 842-nucleotide long non-coding RNA is filed under the name Rattus norvegicus (Norway rat). RNAcentral describes it as "long non-coding RNA NONRATT010283". The record is from RNAcentral. Lineage: Eukaryota; Metazoa; Chordata; Mammalia; Rodentia; Muridae.